RNAcentral lists this ribosomal RNA (863 nucleotides) under uncultured bacterium. RNAcentral's name for it is "bacterial SSU rRNA". It matches the Rfam family "Bacterial small subunit ribosomal RNA", at positions 8 to 853 of the family's 1533-position model. The record is from RNAcentral.
AGAGUUUGAUCAUGGCUCAGGACGAACGCUGGCGGCGUGCCUAAUACAUGCAAGUAGAACGCUGACUACUUUAGCUUGCUAGAGUAGAAGGAGUUGCGAACGGGUGAGUAACGCGUAGGUAACCUGCCUACUAGCGGGGGAUAACUAUUGGAAACGAUAGCUAAUACCGCAUAACAGUGUUUAACACAUGUUAGAUGCUUGAAAGAUGCAAAUGCAUCACUAGUAGAUGGACCUGCGUUGUAUUAGCUAGUUGGUGGGGUAACGGCCUACCAAGGCGACGAUACAUAGCCGACCUGAGAGGGUGAUCGGCCACACUGGGACUGAGACACGGCCCAGACUCCUACGGGAGGCAGCAGUAGGGAAUCUUCGGCAAUGGGGGCAACCCUGACCGAGCAACGCCGCGUGAGUGAAGAAGGUUUUCGGAUCGUAAAGCUCUGUUGUAAGAGAAGAACGUGUGUGAGAGUGGAAAGUUCACACAGUGACGGUAACUUACCAGAAAGGGACGGCUAACUACGUGCCAGCAGCCGCGGUAAUACGUAGGUCCCGAGCGUUGUCCGGAUUUAUUGGGCGUAAAGCGAGCGCAGGCGGUUUAAUAAGUCUGAAGUUAAAGGCAGUGGCUUAACCAUUGUUCGCUUUGGAAACUGUUAAACUUGAGUGCAGAAGGGGAGAGUGGAAUUCCAUGUGUAGCGGUGAAAUGCGUAGAUAUAUGGAGGAACACCGGUGGCGAAAGCGGCUCUCUGGUCUGUAACUGACGCUGAGGCUCGAAAGCGUGGGGAGCAAACAGGAUUAGAUACCCUGGUAGUCCACGCCGUAAACGAUGAGUGCUAGGUGUUGGGCCCUUUCCGGGGCUUAGUGCCGCAGCU